This 3247-nucleotide long non-coding RNA is filed under the name Limulus polyphemus (Atlantic horseshoe crab). RNAcentral's name for it is "uncharacterized LOC111083110". The record is from RNAcentral. Lineage: Eukaryota; Metazoa; Arthropoda; Merostomata; Xiphosura; Limulidae.
ACACAAAGUUACAAGAUAUGUCUUACAACAAUAUAUUUGAUACACAGAUAACUUGUUCAUCAUUAAGAUGUGAUAUUUAACAACAGUUAACAUGAUUUAACAAUGUUCCUGACACAAAGUUAUAAGAUAUAUCUUACAACAAUAUAUUUGAUACACAGAUAACUUGUUCAUCAUUAAGACAUGAUAUUUAACAACAGUUAACAUGAUUUAACAAUGUUCUUGUUACAAGAUAUCUCUUACAACAAUAUAUUUGAUACACAGAUAACUUGUUUAUCAUUAAGAUGUGAUAUUUAACAACAGUUAACAUGAUUUUAACAAUGUUAAGUUAACGUAUCAAGAGUUUAACUUGGGCAAGUUAGCAUGAAGUACAAUUUAUUUUGUUUUUGGUACUUUUUUCUCUUGAUAACAUGAAAUAUAUGUUGUUGUUUAAAUUAUAGUUUAUUUUAAUACUGAUUGUUGCUUCUAGUUGAUUUUUCCAGUUCUCAUAUUUAAUUUCGUAAUGAAUCGUAGAGUCACGGCAACAACUGUAAACAUCUUUAAUGAAGAUUAUUUAUUUGGCCUAUUCCAAAUCUCAUAACUCCAAAAGUAAACAUUUGUAAGGCAUGAGAUUUGAUACAGUUACUAAUUCAGUGAUGGAUAAAAUGCCAUGGGUGGAAUUGAUGGUCGCUUGAAGAUAUAUAUGUCUACUUACAGGCAAAUAGAGAAUAUAAUAUAAGAGCAAUGGAAAUAAAUGUUUCUGGUUCACUAUUUUGUUCUUUUUUCUGAGAUGGCCUCUAGAGAGAAUCUAUCAGCAUGUGAAUCAUUAUUACACCACUGAUAUUGUAUUGACGUGAAGCUUGUGCCUGCAAGAGGGCCACGCAGCUCACCAGAAAUUGACUACAAAUUUGCACAAAUGAAAUUGUUGUGGUUUCCAAUCCAACAUCAGUUGUUAUGGAAAUUAGGAAGACAGUGCCCAAUGUUGUGGAAACAACUGCAUGUGAAUAGUGAAGCUAGGACAUUGCUAAACAACAAUUCUAGAAGGUGUUGAAUAUCUUAUAUCCAUACAGAGCCUGUGCAAUGGAACCAGAAAAUGAAAAUCAAUGACCAUUUUGCUCUCAAAUUCCUGACUUGGUGACAUAUGGCUUCAACAAAGUUCAUGAACUAAUGCUCUUCUUGGCCAGGCCUACACCUGAAGUCAUGUUAUCUGGGGGAGAAGCAAACCCACCUGCUAUAGUGCAACAGCCCCCAGCAUGAGGAGAACAGUUGUUUGGAGUUACUACCACAUUCAUCAAUCAUAUUGAGUUUUAGACAAUUAUUUCUGAAUUUGAGGAAAAGAUGUUUUGAUUGUGACUAUUUUCCAGCAAGUUACUGCUCCUCCCCAUAUUGAACGACCUGUCAUGGCAUUGUGUUUGGUUUGGAGAUCCUUUCACAGGGUCAACUUGUUCUACUCAUCUUGAUUUUACCAACGUGAUGGCCCUGAUAUAGCAUCCGUUGGUUCCCUGUAUCAAGAUUAGAAGCAUCAUGGACAACAAUGGUGGUCAUGUCAAAAGUUGCAUGUAAUCAUCCAUCUAUGCGUUUAACUGCACCUCCUAGUGACCAAUGUUUAUCCAAUCACUUUCAUAGAUUGCUGACUACACUGUAUCUUUAUUUGUAACUAAAAGUUUUGGUUACAAGAAAUUUCUUAAUGUACAUUAAUAGUUUCUUCUAACAACUUUUUUUAAAUGAACUUUGAUUUUGGAACCUUCAUACUCCACAAGACAACAGAAACAAUGCAAGAGUUCGAACGGGUUGUUUCUUUAGUAAUCACAAAUCCAGUUCAGGUCUCAAUGCAUUGUCUAACAGUUAACUAAAAUCAUAAGAUUACAGUAGACAUUUGAUAAAGUUUUGGGUAAUACUGAUAUAAAUUCCAGUUCAGGUCUCAAUGCAUUGUCUAACAGUUAACUAAAAUCAUAAGAUUACAGUAGACAUUUGAUAAAGUUUUGGGUAAUACUGAUAUAAAUUGAACAUUAAAAUGGAGGAGCUAUUUUAAUCUUUUGGCUCGACCAAGCAUGUAGAACAAACUUAGUGUUCUUUCAUUGGGUAUGUUCUCUUAAAUUAUCUGGUGAAAAUCAGGCCAAGUACAGUCCCUCAAACAAUCAUCUCUUCCUUAACGUUUCUACAAGCUGCUUACACUUAUAUACUGUCAUAGCUUUUAGGUCCAAGUUUAAACUGAAAUACCUCAUUAAUGAUACUAUGACUAACGUAAAAAUAAACUUAUUUGUACAAUUUUGAGACUGUAGAUCAAGUAAAUGAAUAUACACUAAAUGUAACUGAUGAAAAUACUUCACUGAAUGACUAAUUCACUACUAACUGAAAGCAAAAAGACAAUAAUUCUCACACUUAUAAUCUACUGUCAUUUCUUAAAACUUUCUAGGCCUACAUUAACAUCAUUUGCCCUCUAGCUAACAUCUAACUUGAAAUGUUAAAAAUAUAGCUUAUAACAAUUAAAAUCAAUCACCACAACUGAACAAUGAUCAGGAUUAAAUAUACUACGUUAAAACAUACUUGAUUGAUGGAAUGAGAUAAGAUUCAUUAACUGAUUAGAGAAUAAACAGAAUGAAAAUUUUUUUUGUCUAAUAUUUUUUUUUAACCAAUAUCUAUUCAUAUUAUUCUGUACUUCUCAAGUAUAUUUUUUAAAAGGUAACCUAGCAUGGCACAUAAAUUGAAACAUUCUGGAAAGUAAAUUUUUUAACCGUUUCCUUUACAAAAUUUAGUGUUUCGCGAGACUUUUCACAAUAUGUUCUAGUAUUUUGCUUGAUGACUUAUUUACUAAUUUAGAUGGCAACAUGCACAAAGAUAUGUUGAUUUGUGGAAACAAAAGUUAAAAUAUAAUGUUUUGUAAAUUACACUGCAAUUUUGUGAUCAAUCUGGUAUCGAUUUGAUUCAAAAUAAACAGACUUUCGUCCAUCUUAUUCGCCUUUUUUGGAGUGCUGUAAGUUUGUAAAUAGUUAAAUAUGAAAACAAAAGUUUUUUUCUAUGUGUAUGCAUACACCUGUAGGGUGUAUGUUUUUAAACACUGAAUAUAGUGAUUAUUCGGGGUAGUUAUUGUUAGUUAGGCCCAUUAUAAGGUUAUUACUACAUAUUGUAUGCAUAGGUAACAUUAUUAGGCCUAUCGAUUAUGGGUACAUACUAUGCUACGAGUUUCUACACGAUGCACCAGCUGUACUUCCCUCAAUUAUAGUCCUGUACCAAUCAUUUGUAUAAAUAAAAAGUGUAUAUGUGAUAGUAA